GUAAAUCUCCCAAGGAUCACAACCCUUGACAGAAGAGUUUAUCUUUAACUUUGGUAUCCAGCACAAAGUCUCUGUUCCUUACGUGGCUCUGUUUUCUUUUCUUGAGGGACAUCCAGUGAUCAGGCACUAGAACCCCCCUGGGUGGCCCAUGCGCUCCAACUUUCCUGUUUCCUCUAUUCCUCUGCAACCACUGAGACCCACCCCCUUUUAAACAGUGGAGCCACCAGAAGGUGGCUUCCCUGAUUCCUGGGUCACUGAGCAAGGGGCAGCUGACCUGGAGGUUUGCUAGCUGUCUACUGCCUUGCAUGGAUGAAAACAACACCUGUGUAAAGAGUUUAUGUUGGUUUCCAUGGAGAUCUGGAGAGGUCUUUUUGUCUUGCUGGAUUGAAACGCUAUACUUUAGAUUAUAAUGCUGGCAAACAACCAUUCUACCUUCUGCCUUUGUGAACAAGGACACCUGUGUACUUCAUGUGUAUGCGGUCCAGAAGGUGACUUCUGAUCCCGUGGCAUUACAGGCUGUUAGGAGUCCCAUGUGGUUGCUGGGAGCCGAACCUGGGUCUUCCGAGGUCCCGGCACCUUCUGUAGUCAUGCACUUGGCGCCAUCCUCCUCUCGAGUCUUGCACACUGCUGGACCAGCACUUGAGCCGUGGAUGCAAAGAGGGUCUUCAGGAGAGGUUUAUGGAGAAGACAGACUGGGAAAGGCAAAGACUUCAAUCAAAGAGGAAUCAGUGGGAGUCUGGGCAGUCUUUCCUGAGAAGAUGUGAACACAUGUCUGCUUACCCUGCAUAGGGCACCAACGACAGACCAAAGAGACUGGACCCCACAGCUCUGAGUCUUGUUUGUGGCGACAAUUAUGGGAGUUGCUUUUCAGGCGGAUGGGUGCCUCUGGCACUGACUGCUUCAUGAAAAAGCCCACUGCAGUCUGGGUCAGAUGACUCAUCUAAGGGACAUUUCGAGCUCCCUAUGUUACUUGCAACUUUCUUGUGUGUUCUUAUACCUUUCUUAAGAAUUUCCUGAGGCUCCUUGUCUCCCUCACUCCACAAGCAGGGACUGGUCUGCAGCUGGUGGAGCACACCAGGGGGUUAGUUGUGCGUGGAUGCAGGGAUCUGGGCUGCAGGGUUGCUUGAGACCUGGCAACUGAAGGGGUGUAGAUACAGCUCUGUGGGUGGGUGAGCCUGCCCAGGGAUGGGCUGAAUGAGCCUAGGAGUUAGAAGGCUAGUGGCUAGCACUCAUGGGAGACAAGGAGGAGACCCUAAAAGACAGCCACUCCUUGGAGUGCACGGUUGUGGUGAGAGCAGCUGACUAGAAGGGAGUUUCUAAGAUUUGAUAACUGAUACUUUAACCAAACUUUAACCCCUUGUGUGGGCCAGGUUCUGAGCAACUAGAGAUGAACCAGAAGUCUCUUAGUGAGACAGAUGUGUGAAUUACAGUUAAGCAAAAUGUA
Cricetulus griseus (Chinese hamster) is the source of this 1444-nucleotide non-coding RNA. Lineage: Eukaryota; Metazoa; Chordata; Mammalia; Rodentia; Cricetidae. The record is from RefSeq and is a predicted model, not a curated record.